AUGUCACAUUCCGUAAAAAUUUACGAUACAUGUAUAGGAUGCACUCAAUGUGUACGAGCUUGUCCAACAGAUGUAUUAGAAAUGAUACCCUGGGAU
RNAcentral lists this ribosomal RNA (96 nucleotides) under Triticum aestivum (bread wheat). RNAcentral's name for it is "partial small subunit ribosomal RNA". Lineage: Eukaryota; Viridiplantae; Streptophyta; Magnoliopsida; Poales; Poaceae. The record is from RNAcentral.